GGCCCAGCUUUUGCUAGUUAAUCAACACAGGUAACCAACGGCGGUUGCCCCACUCUACGACAAAGACGUCGC
Molecule: non-coding RNA, 72 nt
Organism: Pseudomonas caspiana
Lineage: Bacteria; Pseudomonadati; Pseudomonadota; Gammaproteobacteria; Pseudomonadales; Pseudomonadaceae
Source: Rfam